Molecule: unclassified non-coding RNA, 1124 nt
Filed under: Hevea brasiliensis (rubber tree)
Lineage: Eukaryota; Viridiplantae; Streptophyta; Magnoliopsida; Malpighiales; Euphorbiaceae
Source: RNAcentral
GGUGAAGUUUUUGCCUAAUAUAGUCUACCUGCUCUCAAUUCUUUUGCAGGAUUAUGCUAUUUUUGGCCAUGUUGAAUCAAGAGUUGCUUCUCUUCUUGCUUCUUUCUCUCAUGCCUGUGCAUAUAUUAUGCAUAUGUAUUGACAGUAGCAUGUGCGUAACAUUUGAUCAUUUGGUUCUCCAUUUGAACAAGAAAAUGGAUUGUACAUCUCCAUUUCUUUGCAUGAAAGUGGGUAAAGAAAUAAAAGAGAGAGGAUAAUGAUUUAUUCUGUUUCUCUGAUUGGAUUCUUGUACAAUGAAUGAAGCUAUAAAGAACCAUUGUUAUUGCUUUAUGGCCAAGUUUCACUGUUAGCGGCCAUAAUGUUGCCAUAUCUACUAAUUUGAGAGAAUUCAGUUUAAGAGUGCGAAAGGGCUCAAUUUGCAUUAAAAUUUCGCCAUUUAUUUGCUCAAACUUCUGGGUUCUAUAGUUCUCGUUGAAUUCUUCUCUCUAAGAACGAUUCAUGAUAGAAUCCAAAGCGUAAAUAACUAAUUGCCUUCAGCUAUUUCACUCGCAAAAGCUCUGUAGCAUUAUCCUUAACAAAUUCCACUAAAAAAGACCUUGACAAAUUGAUGAUGGUGGUUUGAUGAGAUAUGACAGUUUGAAUGGUAAAUGGUAGAUAGAAGAGUCAAGAAUAAAAAUGCUACUUUCUUGUUUUUCACUUUUCCUCCUCUAUCCUCACAGUUGACAUCGAUAAAUAUGUCAAGCAAUGGAACAGAAUAAACGAAUGAUUUAAUGCUACUUUUUUUUCCUUCAAGCUUAAUUUCAUUCUGCAAUGUUUUCACAGCACCACACUAAAAUGAAUGGUUUUGGCAUACUGGAAAGUGCAACAGUGUAAGACAACACAGUUCACUACUACAGUUGUGUUUUGAAUAUAAUUAUAACCAACUACCAUCUAUAUCAAGUUAAUUCAACCCCAAACUGGAUGCUACUAUUACAUCUAUUCAGAAGUGGGGGGUACUAUAGGAAAAUUUAUUUGGUACAACCGUCGUAUGUACAAUGGAUAGAUUUUAAACGUUGAUUAUGGUGAAACUCACAUAGGAUCCACCAUGAUUAAUGGUUAUAAUACAACGGUUGUAUUCUAAAAUU